Molecule: long non-coding RNA, 1395 nt
Organism: Lacerta agilis (Sand lizard)
Lineage: Eukaryota; Metazoa; Chordata; Lepidosauria; Squamata; Lacertidae
Exons: 2
Source: RefSeq, a predicted model, not a curated record
CAAAGCCGUAUUUUUGGAGAGGGUGAAACAGCCCUGGAGAAUCUGGCCUGAAACAGCUGACUUCACCCCAGUGGGACAGACGAGCCCCAAUGGAGAGCCAAGUUUAGACAGCCUCUCUCACCAGCCCCACCCUCUCCUUGGCUCCCUCCCUCUUAACAUAAAGCAGGCGAGGCGGCUAUUAUUAGUUUGGGGUGUCAGGCCUGUUCCUCUGCAAACGUCUCUUAAUAUCACCUCUUGGGGGUUGGCCCUGAAAACAAAGAGUCUUGUUGUCGACGCACCUUUAAAAAGCCAAGGGACAUAGGAAGCUGCCUUAUGUUUUUUUUUUUUGGGGGGGGGGAGUCUUUUAGCUGAGUGCUUUGCAAGCAGACGGUCCUAUGUCCAAUCCCUGGUUUCCAUCUCCAGGCAGGGCUAGGAGAGAUUCCCUGGGGUUUGAAACCCUGGGGAACUAAUCAGUGUUGACAAUCCUAAAAUAGAUGGAGCAACUCAGUCUAAUGGAUAUUUCUUUGGGGGAAAUCCAUGGGUCAGUGGAAGAGGACCUGCCUCGCAUGGAUGAAGCUCCCAGGUUUAAUCCCUGGCAUCUCCAGUGCCUUUCCCAAUCGCUAUCUCCCAAAUGCAAGAAAUCCGUUCGUUUCUAAGUGGAUUUGCUAUGGCGACGGAAGGCUUCAAGGCCGUUUCAUUGCGCAAACCGACAUUUCUGGUAUGUACUUGAACCCCUUUUGCAAAACAACGGCAGCCUUGUGGCACAUUUUGUGUGGAUUAAUUUAUUUCAGGAACAAUAACAAGCAGUAACGACGGAUGAGAAUGAAACACAGCAGGAUUUUAUUAUUAUCAUUAUUAUUAUUUGCACAUUUGUGUGUGUGUGUGAAACUUCUUCAGGAAGACUAAAGAAUACAGCCAUGUCAAAGGUAGUUUUUUUCGUUUUGUUUUAGAUCUGAAGUUCAAUGAACCAAUGUUUUGGAGCUGUCGAAAUGUGAGAACAAGAGGGAUGUGUUGCCUGCUACUCAUCACACAUAAGCCCAUUCUGGAGCCUGGCUUUGUUCUAAAGGAUUUGAAUUCAUGUCAGGACUGGCUCUACCAUUAGAUGGAGUGAAGCAGCUGCCUCGGGCGGCAGAUUUUGAGGGGCAGGCAGUGGCGGCAUGGAGUUGGAAGACAGCCUGCUAUGCCCCUUAGGCUAGCCUGCUCCCCUCACAGGACGGCAAGUAGACAGAAUAAAAUUUCAACUGCCAAUUGCAUCGGCUUCUGGAUCUGAAAUGAGGACCACACCUUGUCUUUUGCCUUGUUCUGCUUGAGUUCAGAUGCUUCAGGAAAAGAAAACCUCUAUUUCUCCUUCAUGAAAUGUUCUACUGUGUGUUCUUCUUCAGAAUACCUAGCCGUCACAGGUGAACAGAAUUUAAA